RNAcentral lists this ribosomal RNA (433 nucleotides) under uncultured bacterium. Its description in RNAcentral is "partial 16S ribosomal RNA". It matches the Rfam family "Bacterial small subunit ribosomal RNA", at positions 29 to 507 of the family's 1533-position model. The record is from RNAcentral.
AGCGAACGCUGGCGGCAGGCCUAACACAUGCAAGUCGAACGAACUCUUCGGAGUUAGUGGCGGACGGGUGAGUAACACGUGGGAACGUGCCUUUAGGUUCGGAAUAACUCAGGGAAACUUGAGCUAAUACCGGAUGUGCCCUUCUGGGGAAAGAUUUAUCGCCUUUAGAGCGGCCCGCGUCUGAUUAGCUAGUUGGUGAGGUAAAGGCUCACCAAGGCGACGAUCAGUAGCUGGUCUGAGAGGAUGAUCAGCCACAUUGGGACUGAGACACGGCCCAAACUCCUACGGGAGGCAGCAGUGGGGAAUCUUGCGCAAUGGGCGAAAGCCUGACGCAGCCAUGCCGCGUGAAUGAUGAAGGUCUUAGGAUUGUAAAAUUCUUUCACCGGGGACGAUAAUGACGGUACCCGGAGAAGAAGCCCCGGCUAACUUCGUG